This 54-nucleotide transfer RNA is filed under the name Halicephalobus gingivalis. RNAcentral describes it as "tRNA-Gln". RNAcentral also lists the same sequence under 1 other name. Lineage: Eukaryota; Metazoa; Nematoda; Chromadorea; Rhabditida; Panagrolaimidae. The record is from RNAcentral.
UGUAAAUUAUUUUAUAAAGAAUAUUUGUUUUUGGUACAAAAAGAUUAUUUACAU